Molecule: unclassified non-coding RNA, 1812 nt
Filed under: Leguminivora glycinivorella
Lineage: Eukaryota; Metazoa; Arthropoda; Insecta; Lepidoptera; Tortricidae
Description: gustatory and odorant receptor 22-like, transcript variant X1
Source: RNAcentral
GCAAGGAUAUGUCCGCCUCGGAUUUGUCCGCUGGGCAAGCGGAUCAGAUCCGAGCCUUGCCCGGCGGACCAAUCCGUACGUGUAUGGCUAAUCGCGGAUCAGAUCCGAAGCUUGCCCGGCGGACGAAUCCCCACGUGUAUGGCUAGCUAAUCUGUAAACUUAAGUUUUUGCAGUUAGUGAAAGAUGAUUCCCGACCACUACUUCGAUGAAGGCCUGAACGGCUCACUGUACCGGAAUGACAUGAAGCAGGUCAACACUGUGAAGAUGGUAUAUGAGAAGACACAGGCAGAUUAUGAGCAAGAACAACGCGACAUGCUCUCGUCACAAGAUGGCGACACUUGCGAGACGCACGACCAGUUCUACCGCGACCACAAAUUGCUGCUGGUGCUUUUCAGAGUUCUGGCUGUGAUGCCCAUCACCAGGUCACGACCAGGCACCGUAACAUUCAGCUGGAAAUCCCGCGCCACAAUGUACGCCAUCUCCUUCUACAUAGUAGCCACAGUAGUCGUCCUGAUGGUAGGCUACGAGCGCGUGAUGAUCCUGCGCUCCAUCAAGAAGUUCGACGACUACAUCUACGCCAUCCUGUUCGUGGCGUUCCUCGUGCCGCACUUCUGGAUCCCCUUCGUGGGGUGGGGCGUGGCGCACCAGGUCGCCAUCUACAAGACCAGCUGGGGCAAGUUCCAGGUUCGAUACUACCGAGUGACUGGCGAAAACCUGCAAUUCCCCAACCUGCAGACCCAGAUCGUCAUCAUUAGCGUCGGCUGCCUCCUCCUAGCCAUCUGUUUCCUCCUCAGCCUCUGCGCUCUCAUGGACGGUUUCCUCCUCAUACAUACCACAGCCUACUACCAUAUCAUCACCAUGAUUAAUAUGAACUGCGCGCUGUGGUACAUUAACUGCAAGGGCAUUAAGAUCGCCUCGCAAAGUCUGUCGGAAUGUUUUCGUAGGGACGUUAAUGUGGAGAUCUCGGCGAAGCUGAUAUCUCGGUACCGGUUCCUCUGGCUGAACCUGUCUGAGCUGCUGCAGUCACUCGGCAACGCCUACGCGCGUACCUACUCCACCUACUGCUUGUUCAUGUUCUUCAACAUCACCAUCGCGGUAUACGGCGCGCUCUCCGAGAUUGUGGACCACGGAUUCGGAUUCAGCUUCAAGGAAAUGGGACUGUUCGUCGACGCUGCUUACUGUUCCACUUUACUGUUCAUUUUCGUUGACUGCUCUCAUAAAUCCACCUUGAAGCUGGAGUUCAAGACACUUUGCUGGGCAUUGACAUGUUGGCUGUCGAUAGGCCUGCUCAAAAAGAGAUCGACCACUUUAUCCAAGCCAUCGAGAUGAACCCCGCCGUCGUGAGCCUGAAAGGUUACGCACACGUCAACAGAGAACUACUCACUUCGGCAAUAAGCAUGAUAGCUAUUUAUUUGAUCGUGCUGCUGCAGUUCAAGAUAUCGCUGCCCAAAACUGACACAUAAGACCAAUCUAAGUUGUGAGAACUAAAAGUUUAUUGACAUACGAAGCAUCGAUUUAAACUUCCCUUGUAGUUGUAAGUUAGUUAGUAGUUGUAGUUGUAAACUUGUAGUUUAAAUCGAUGAUACGAAGACAAACUUAUUCGCUGGUAAUUGUUGCGAGCUUAUAGUAAGUGCAAAGAGGAUCGAGUAUAGAGAAUUACUUUCUAAGUAAAAGCAGGGGCGGCUUACUCCGCGAUCCUUUCGCCGCGCUACAAGUACAUGCCGGCGGCUGCGAGUUCGCGGCCCAUUCAGUGGCGACGACUUUCGCGCGGCUCAAUAGAAUUCAAUGUCGUCUGCACGCGUGCGGUCCGUU